GCCGGGUGUUGUGGUGCACACCUAUAGUCCCAGCUACUCAGGAGGCCGAGGUGGGAGGAUCACUUGAGCCCUGGAGUUCGAGGCUGCAGUGAGCUGUGAUUGCGCCACUGCACUUUAGCCUGGGUGACAGAGUGAGAUCCUGUCUCAA
Unclassified non-coding RNA from Macaca fascicularis (crab-eating macaque), 148 nucleotides. It matches the Rfam family "Metazoan signal recognition particle RNA". Rfam says of the family: The signal recognition particle (SRP) is a universally conserved ribonucleoprotein. It is involved in the co-translational targeting of proteins to membranes. Lineage: Eukaryota; Metazoa; Chordata; Mammalia; Primates; Cercopithecidae. The record is from Ensembl.